AAGCAAAUGAUGAGUACUGGAUUCCCCUUCAUGACUUGAGUGAUGAAACAUUCCAGUUUCUGAUGCC
Molecule: small nucleolar RNA, 67 nt
Organism: Selaginella moellendorffii
Lineage: Eukaryota; Viridiplantae; Streptophyta; Lycopodiopsida; Selaginellales; Selaginellaceae
Rfam family: Small nucleolar RNA snoR60
About the family: snoR60 is a member of the C/D class of snoRNA which contain the C (UGAUGA) and D (CUGA) box motifs.
Source: Rfam